This 3035-nucleotide ribosomal RNA is filed under the name Brenneria izadpanahii. RNAcentral's name for it is "Brenneria sp. Ir50 23S ribosomal RNA". It matches the Rfam family "Bacterial large subunit ribosomal RNA". Lineage: Bacteria; Pseudomonadati; Pseudomonadota; Gammaproteobacteria; Enterobacterales; Pectobacteriaceae. The record is from RNAcentral.
GGGUUGUGAGGUUAAGCGACUAAGCGUACACGGUGGAUGCCUAGGCAGUCAGAGGCGAUGAAGGGCGUGCUAAUCUGCGAAAAGCGUCGGUAAGGUGAUAUGAACCGUAACAGCCGACGAUACCCGAAUGGGGAAACCCGGUGCACUUGUGCAUCAUCGUUUGAUGAAUCCAUAGUCAAACGAGGCGAACCGGGGGAACUGAAACAUCUCAGUACCCCGAGGAAAAGAAAUCAACCGAGAUUCCCCCAGUAGCGGCGAGCGAACGGGGAAAAGCCCAGAACCUGAAUCAGUUUGUGUGUUAGUGGAAGCGUCUGGAAAGUCGCACGACAGAGGGUGAUAGUCCCGUACACAAAAAUGCACAGGCUGUGAGUUCGAUGAGUAGGGCGGGACACGUGAUAUCCUGUCUGAAGAUGGGGGGACCAUCCUCCAAGGCUAAAUACUCCUGACUGACCGAUAGUGAACCAGUACCGUGAGGGAAAGGCGAAAAGAACCCCGGCGAGGGGAGUGAAAUAGAACCUGAAACCGUGUACGUACAAGCAGUGGGAGCCCCACCACCAAAACACUUCCGGGCCGAAAGGCGAUGCGGAUGUCGAGGUGACGGUUGUCAUCGCGUUUUUUGCGAUGACCAACACACAAAACAAGCAGUGAGUGUUUUGGGGUGGGGUGACUGCGUACCUUUUGUAUAAUGGGUCAGCGACUUAUAUUCUGUAGCAAGGUUAACCGAAUAGGGGAGCCGCAGGGAAACCGAGUCUUAACUGGGCGUUAAGUUGCAGGGUAUAGACCCGAAACCCGGUGAUCUAGCCAUGGGCAGGUUGAAGGUUGGGUAACACUAACUGGAGGACCGAACCGACUAAUGUUGAAAAAUUAGCGGAUGACCUGUGGCUGGGGGUGAAAGGCCAAUCAAACCGGGAGAUAGCUGGUUCUCCCCGAAAGCUAUUUAGGUAGCGCCUCGUGAACUCAUCUACGGGGGUAGAGCACUGUUUCGACUAGGGGGUCAUCCCGACUUACCAACUCGAUGCAAACUGCGAAUACCGUAGAAUGUUAUCACGGGAGACACACGGCGGGUGCUAACGUCCGUCGUGAAGAGGGAAACAACCCAGACCGCCAGCUAAGGUCCCAAAGUCAUGGUUAAGUGGGAAACGAUGUGGGAAGGCCCAGACAGCCAGGAUGUUGGCUUAGAAGCAGCCAUCAUUUAAAGAAAGCGUAAUAGCUCACUGGUCGAGUCGGCCUGCGCGGAAGAUGUAACGGGGCUAAACCAUGCACCGAAGCUGCGGCAGCGACGCUUAGGCGUUGUUGGGUAGGGGAGCGUUCUGUAAGCCUGCGAAGGUGGCCCGUGAGGGUUGCUGGAGGUAUCAGAAGUGCGAAUGCUGACAUAAGUAACGAUAAUGCGGGUGAAAAACCCGCACGCCGGAAGACCAAGGGUUCCUGUCCAACGUUAAUCGGGCAGGGUGAGUCGACCCCUAAGGCGAGGCUGAAAAGCGUAGUCGAUGGGAAACAGGUUAAUAUUCCUGUACUGGGUGUUGCUGCGAAGGGGGGACGGAGAAAGCUAGGUUGGCCGGGCGACGGUUGUCCCGGUUUAAGCGUGCAGGUGGGUGUUUUUGGUAAAUCCGGAACACUGUCAACACUGAGGCGUGACGACGAGUCACUACGGUGACGAAGUAACCGAUGCUACGCUUCCAGGAAAAGCCUCUAAGCUCCAGGCAACACGCAAUCGUACCCCAAACCGACACAGGUGGUCAGGUAGAGAAUACUCAGGCGCUUGAGAGAACUCGGGUGAAGGAACUAGGCAAAAUGGUGCCGUAACUUCGGGAGAAGGCACGCUGGAUUUGGUGAAGUCCCUUGCGGAUGGAGCUGAGACCAGUCGCAGAUACCAGCUGGCUGCAACUGUUUAAUAAAAACACAGCACUGUGCAAACACGAAAGUGGACGUAUACGGUGUGACGCCUGCCCGGUGCCGGAAGGUUAAUUGAUGGGGUCAGCCUUUGGGCGAAGCUCUUGAUCGAAGCCCCGGUAAACGGCGGCCGUAACUAUAACGGUCCUAAGGUAGCGAAAUUCCUUGUCGGGUAAGUUCCGACCUGCACGAAUGGCGUAAUGAUGGCCAGGCUGUCUCCACCCGAGACUCAGUGAAAUUGAACUCGCUGUGAAGAUGCAGUGUACCCGCGGCAAGACGGAAAGACCCCGUGAACCUUUACUAUAGCUUGACACUGAACCUUGAGCCUUGAUGUGUAGGAUAGGUGGGAGGCUUUGAAGCGUGGACGCCAGUCUGCGUGGAGCCGACCUUGAAAUACCACCCUUUAAUGUUCGAUGUUCUAACGUGGGCCCCUGAGCGGGGUUGCGGACAGUGUCUGGUGGGUAGUUUGACUGGGGCGGUCUCCUCCCAAAGAGUAACGGAGGAGCACGAAGGUUAGCUAAUCCUGGUCGGACAUCAGGAGGUUAGUGCAAAGGCAUAAGCUAGCUUGACUGCGAGAGUGACGGCUCGAGCAGGUGCGAAAGCAGGUCUUAGUGAUCCGGUGGUUCUGAAUGGAAGGGCCAUCGCUCAACGGAUAAAAGGUACUCCGGGGAUAACAGGCUGAUACCGCCCAAGAGUUCAUAUCGACGGCGGUGUUUGGCACCUCGAUGUCGGCUCAUCACAUCCUGGGGCUGAAGUAGGUCCCAAGGGUAUGGCUGUUCGCCAUUUAAAGUGGUACGCGAGCUGGGUUUAGAACGUCGUGAGACAGUUCGGUCCCUAUCUGCCGUGGGCGUUGGAAGAUUGAGAGGGGUUGCUCCUAGUACGAGAGGACCGGAGUGAACGCACCACUGGUGUACGGGUUGUGAUGCCAAUUGCAUUGCCCGGUAGCUACGUGCGGAAGAGAUAACCGCUGAAAGCAUCUAAGCGGGAAACUUGCCUCGAGAUGAGUCUUCCCUGGGACUUUGAGUCCCCUGAAGGGCCGUUGAAGACGACGACGUAGAUAGGCUGGGUGUGUAAGCGUUGCGAGACGUUGAGCUAACCAGUACUAAUGACCCGAGAGGCUUAACCUUACAACACCGAAGGUGUUU